RNAcentral lists this small nuclear RNA (185 nucleotides) under Anolis carolinensis (green anole). RNAcentral's name for it is "7SK RNA". It matches the Rfam family "7SK RNA", at positions 1 to 189 of the family's 331-position model. Rfam says of the family: 7SK was discovered as an abundant small nuclear RNA in the mid-70s but a possible function has only recently been suggested. Two independent studies have found that 7SK RNA binds the CDK9/cyclin T complex (known as elongation factor P-TEFb). The record is from Rfam by way of RNAcentral. Lineage: Eukaryota; Metazoa; Chordata; Lepidosauria; Squamata; Anolidae.
GGAUGUGAGGGUGAUCUGGCUGCGACAUCUGUCACCCCAUUGAUCGCCAGGGUUGAUUCGGCUGAUCUGGCUGGCUAGGCGGGUGUCCCCUUCCUCCCUCACCGCUCCAUGUGCAUCCCUCCCAAAGCUACGCGCUCGGUGGAAGAGGACGACGUCCCAGGUAUAGAAGGAGUGUACUUGCAAGG